UGGGGAAUUUUGGACAAUGGGCGAAAGCCUGAUCCAGCAAUGCCGCGUGUGUGAAGAAGGCCUUCGGGUUGUAAAGCACUUUUGUCCGGAAAGAAAUCCUUGGCUCUAAUACAGUCGGGGGAUGACGGUACCGGAAGAAUAAGCACCGGCUAACUACGUGCCAGCAGCCGCGGUAAUACGUAGGGUGCAAGCGUUAAUCGGAAUUACUGGGCGUAAAGCGUGCGCAGGCGGUUUGCUAAGACCGAUGUGAAAUCCCCGGGCUCAACCUGGGAACUGCAUUGGUGACUGGCAGGCUAGAGUAUGGCAGAGGGGGGUAGAAUUCCACGUGUAGCAGUGAAAUGCGUAGAGAUGUGGAGGAAUACCGAUGGCGAAGGCAGCCCCCUGGGCCAAUACUGACGCUCAUGCACGAAAGCGUGGGGGAGCAAACAGGAUUAGAUACCCUGGUAGUCCACGCCCUAAACGAUGUCAACUAGUUGUUGGGGAUUCAUUUCCUUAGUAACGUAGCUAACGCGUGAAGUUGACCGCCUGGGGAGUACGGUCGCAAGAUUAAAACUCAAAUGAAUAGACGGGGUCAUAGCUGUUUCCU
This 586-nucleotide ribosomal RNA is filed under the name uncultured bacterium. Its description in RNAcentral is "partial 16S ribosomal RNA". It matches the Rfam family "Bacterial small subunit ribosomal RNA", at positions 355 to 1375 of the family's 1533-position model. The record is from RNAcentral.